GGCUCGGUGGUGUAGUUGGUUAUCACGUCAGUCUAACAAGGUUCGAACUCUUGAAUCCGUACACUGAAGGUCCCGAGUUCAAGCCUCGGCUGAGUCA
This is a non-coding RNA of Cucurbitaria berberidis CBS 394.84, 97 nucleotides long. The record is from the annotation of a RefSeq genome assembly. Lineage: Eukaryota; Fungi; Ascomycota; Dothideomycetes; Pleosporales; Cucurbitariaceae.